AAAAAUGUUACGCCAGUAGUGUUAACCUUACAGGAGAUCCAAUUUGUUGACGUAAACACGUAUGGAAUUGAAACGGGCCACGGACAGAAAUUGUUAUUUGCUUUGUCCACUGCUCCUAGGAAGAAAGGUUUGUCUGGGCUUGGCUUUUCUUCUGUUUUGGGUGAGCAUAUAGGCUUCAUUUCUCAAGCAAAAAUCCAAUCGAAGUAUUCACGAUGGAAC
RNAcentral lists this long non-coding RNA (219 nucleotides) under Setaria italica (foxtail millet). RNAcentral's name for it is "long non-coding RNA (SITA_LNC001038)". Lineage: Eukaryota; Viridiplantae; Streptophyta; Magnoliopsida; Poales; Poaceae. The record is from RNAcentral.